RNAcentral lists this ribosomal RNA (391 nucleotides) under Paracoccus sp. oral taxon H67. RNAcentral's name for it is "bacterial SSU rRNA". It matches the Rfam family "Bacterial small subunit ribosomal RNA", at positions 30 to 449 of the family's 1533-position model. The record is from RNAcentral. Lineage: Bacteria; Pseudomonadati; Pseudomonadota; Alphaproteobacteria; Rhodobacterales; Paracoccaceae.
CGAACGCUGGCGGCAGGCUUAACACAUGCAAGUCGAGCGAGAUCUUCGGAUCUAGCGGCGGACGGGUGAGUAACGCGUGGGAACGUGCCCUUUGCUACGGAAUAGUCCCGGGAAACUGGGUUUAAUACCGUAUACGCCCUUCGGGGGAAAGAUUUAUCGGCAAAGGAUCGGCCCGCGUUGGAUUAGGUAGUUGGUGGGGUAAUGGCCUACCAAGCCGACGAUCCAUAGCUGGUUUGAGAGGAUGAUCAGCCACACUGGGACUGAGACACGGCCCAGACUCCUACGGGAGGCAGCAGUGGGGAAUCUUAGACAAUGGGGGCAACCCUGAUCUAGCCAUGCCGCGUGAGUGAUGAAGGCCUUAGGGUUGUAAAGCUCUUUCAGCUGGGAAGAU